Molecule: non-coding RNA, 113 nt
Organism: Acanthosepion pharaonis
Lineage: Eukaryota; Metazoa; Mollusca; Cephalopoda; Sepiida; Sepiidae
Source: the annotation of a GenBank genome assembly
UUACGGUCAUACCUCGUUAAAACACCGGAUCUCAUACAAUCACCAAAGUUAAGCAAUGUCAAGCUUGGUCAGUGCCUAGAUGGGUGACUGCAUAGGAAUACCAGUUGCUGUAA